CGGAGGAUCCGAGCGUUAUCCGGAUUUAUUGGGUUUAAAGGGUGCGCAGGCGGGAUGUUAAGUCGGCGGUGAAAUUUUGCAGCUCAACUGUAAAAGUGCCUUCGAUACUGGCUUUCUUGAGUGUGGAUGAAGUAGGCGGAAUUUGUGGUGUAGCGGUGAAAUGCUUAGAUAUCACGAGGAACUCCGAUUGCGCAGGCAGCUUACUAAACCACUACUGACGCUCAUGCACGAAGGCGUGGGGAUCAAACAGGAUUAGAUA
Molecule: ribosomal RNA, 259 nt
Filed under: uncultured prokaryote
Description: partial 16S ribosomal RNA
Rfam family: Bacterial small subunit ribosomal RNA
Source: RNAcentral